UGGGGAAUAUUGCACAAUGGGCGCAAGCCUGAUGCAGCCAUGCCGCGUGUAUGAAGAAGGCCUUUGGGUUGUAAAGUACUUUCAGUCGGGAGGAAGGUGGUAAGGUUAAUAACCUUAUCAAUUGACGUUACCGACAGAAGAAGCACCGGCUAACUCCGUGCCAGCAGCCGCGGUAAUACGGAGGGUGCAAGCGUUAAUCGGAAUUACUGGGCGUAAAGCGCACGCAGGCGGUUGAUUGAGUCAGAUGUGAAAUCCCCGGGCUUAACCCGGGAAUUGCAUCUGAUACUGGUCAGCUAGAGUCUUGUAGAGGGGGGUAGAAUUCCAUGUGUAGCGGUGAAAUGCGUAGAGAUGUGGAGGAAUACCGGUGGCGAAGGCGGCCCCCUGGACGAAGACUGACGCUCAGGUGCGAAAGCGUGGGGAGCAAACAGG
This 429-nucleotide ribosomal RNA is filed under the name Chloroflexota bacterium. Its description in RNAcentral is "Chloroflexi bacterium partial 16S ribosomal RNA". It matches the Rfam family "Bacterial small subunit ribosomal RNA", at positions 355 to 776 of the family's 1533-position model. Lineage: Bacteria; Bacillati; Chloroflexota. The record is from RNAcentral.